UAAGUUCCUUGGAACAGGACGUCAUAGAGGGUGAGAAUCCCGUAUGGUUAUAGCCUAGCUCGUGUAAAGCUCUUUCGACGAGUCGAGUUGUUUGGGAAUGCAGCUCAAAAUGGGUGGUAAAUUUCAUCUAAAGCUAAAUAUUGGCCAGAGACCGAUAGCGCACAAGUAGAGUGAUCGAAAGAUGAAAAGCACUUUGGAAAGAGAGUUAAACAGUACGUGAAAUUGUUGAAAGGGAAGCGUUGGCAAUCAGACUUACCCCGAUUACUCAGCCUGGAUUCUUCCAGGUGUAUUUGAUCGAUGUAGGCCAGCAUCGGUUUCGGUGGCGGGACAAACCCAGGGGAACGUAGCUCUUCGGAGUGUUAUAGCCCUUGGCCAUACCGCCUACCGGGACCGAGGACCGCGCUUCGGCUAGGAUGCUGGCGUAAUGGUUGUCAACGGCCCGUCUUGAAACACGGACCAAGGAGUCUAACAUCUAUGCGAGUAUUUGGGUGCUAAACCCAUAUGCGUAAUGAAAGUGAACGGAGGUAAGAGCCCUUAAGGGUGCAUUAUCGACCGAUCCUGAUGUCUUCGGAUGGAUUUGAGUAAGAGCAUAGCUGUUGGGACCCGAAAGAUGGUGAACUAUGCCUAAAUAGGGUGAAGCCAGAGGAAACUCUGGUGGAGGCUCGCAGCGGUUCUGACGUGCAAAUCGAUCGUCAAAUUCGGGCAUAGGGGCGAAAGACUAAUCGAACCAUUUGCUACUAGGUGGUUGAAAGAAUUGUUAUUCUAGUCUCUCUUGUGUGAGGCAACACUGUCAAAUUGCGGGGACGUCCUGUUAUACUAAACUACUGCAACACUGUGGAAACACGUGUGCGCACCAGGGUAAUGACCUGGGGAUAGUAACAACGUUUAGGUAGGGAUAAUUCGCAGCCAAGCUCUAAAGAUCUUAGUAUCCAUGAGUGCAGUUCACAGACUAAAUGUCAGUGGGCCUUUGGUAUAUCCAGAGGUUUAAGUUAUAGUCGGACCGUCGGAAAACCGAAAAGCAAGCUGGGAUUUGGAUAGCAUACAAGCUGGAGAUAUAGUCAUAUCUUCAGGCUAUGUGAUGAAAUCUUGCUAGAAUUUGUUAU
This 1103-nucleotide ribosomal RNA is filed under the name Lachnum palmae. RNAcentral's name for it is "partial 28S ribosomal RNA". It matches the Rfam family "Eukaryotic large subunit ribosomal RNA", at positions 182 to 1467 of the family's 3401-position model. Lineage: Eukaryota; Fungi; Ascomycota; Leotiomycetes; Helotiales; Lachnaceae. The record is from RNAcentral.